CCUCUAAAACAAGGAGGGAUGUUGGGACAAGACCCCCGAUCAUCCUAACAACUAAAGUACUAAAGCAAUGUAAAAGGAGACCUCUGGAAAGCAAAGAGGCUCACCAACUGACUCUGAGUGCUCAAAUGGAUCAACGAGGCGCUGGAUGCUGAUCCUGGUUACCUGUGUCUGCAUCAUAAAAUGACGCAGGACAAAUGGCAUUAGUACAUUGAAUGUGCGAGUAUGCGAGGAGAAUACUAAACAAGACAUAAGCUUGAAAGGAAUCUGAAAGGAACACUUACCUUGACUUUUCUCAACUCAUGAAUAACUCAACUGAAAUGCAAAGUAAACAACAAUACUGGUGCAGUUAUACAAAGCAUUUAAAAUAGAAGGUAACAACUCAAUUUGUUAAAGAAAUGCAAUACAACUCAGUUUACAUGUAAAGUAAUAUAAUACUGUGGGAGUUUCUCUAACCGAAAACCACCACUAGAGCCUAAGUGAUGAUACAACGUCUUGCCCACGCUGCCAGAAAUGUCCUAUACUUUUCCGUCAUAUAGAACACCUUAAUUAAGUGGAUCCACUAGUCUAUUCUAAAAAGUACUAAGGAAUCAUCUAAAAAGUAUGAUCCUUUUCUUCCCCUGAUGGCUACAUGGUUUAUGGAGACUUGAGUUAUUAUGAACUCGCGCCCCCAUAUCGGUGCUCAAUACUACUCCCAAAAUAUACUUAGCUCAUAUGUUUUUAAAACAAAACUCUUUCUUUGGUUUGAGAUAAUUACUCAAAACUUAGCUUAAAAUCGCUCUUGGAAAUUGGUGUUUCCUUUCUUGCUGAAAUGUGAAAACAUUUUAACUCUUGGGAAUACAUAGUUCCCGUAUAAUCUUUGAAAAAAAUGAACUUUACUCUUACUAUUUACUCAACUUAAAUCUCAUGUCUUAAAACAAAGUUAAAACGUUUGUGAAAGACUUUUGGAACACUCUAUGAACUUCUCUUGACUAAACUCUUAACAUCUUGACUUAACUCUUAACUUCCUUUGAAUUGAAAUAUGGAUUCAAGGCUCAUGACCUCAUGUUAAUGAUGAUUUCAUGAUGUUUAGACCUACCUUAGAUUAUAGAAAUCGACUAUAAAACAUAGGUACGUUGCUAAGGAACUAGUACGGUAAGAAGGGGAAAAUGAUGGAACAAUUGGCGUCCCUGGCGCUCUGAGAGGCGCGGGGCGCUAACCCUUAAAUUUCAGGGAUUGGGUUGGGGAGCUCUAGCUGGCACGGCCCCCCAGAGCCCAAAUUUCAGAGCCCCAGUUGGGGCGCUCUGGCUGGGGCGGUGCCCCAUGCCUUUGCCAAGGUGGGUUACGACUUUUCUUCUUCGUUUUCAACUCUAAACCCCCUAUUUCAACUUGGUUCUUUCCCCCAAACACUUAGAAUAAACUAUAACAUCAAUAUAUGUAAGAUUCUACUCGUAAUCACACCUAAAAUCAUGAAUCAAACUCAAUAAACUUCAACAACAAGAACCCAUAAGAUUUCAAACGAAUUAUCAUCAACAACUCAUAAGAUUUGCUUUCAAAACAAUACAACUUCGCUGAAUCGAAUCAUGAUUGGUGCGUGGGUGAACUAACCCAACGCUAUGUGAUCUCACAUACCUUGUAGGAUUGAAUCCUUGGCGAAAUCCACAACCAAAUUGUACGAUCUUGACGAAUCUUGACUUUUCUUCGCCUUUCUCCAAGACCUAGCGUGAAUUUCCAAUUUUGUAAACUGAUCUAAUUCUGAUUUCACCCCAAUUAAACUCCUAAAAUCGAAAUAAAAUAAUUGGGCAAGAAAAAGACCAAACUACCCUUCCAAAAUCCGGAUUAAACUUUCCUUAUUUGAACAACCCAACUUCAAAUGGGCAUAUCUCACUCAUACGAACUCAGAAUCGCGAUAACUCGGCGGCGUUGGAAAGAAAAUUCCAAGAUCUUUCCUAUGGUAUCUGGAAGCACACCUAAAUCAUCUUGAGCUAGGAGUUAUGAUUGUUUGAAGUUGACCCAAAACUCAAACUUAACAUAACUUGACCAAUUUUCCAGAUUAUUCAUUCUUUCCUAAAAUGACUAUUUCCAAUUCUAACUCUUUAUAGUUCUUUCAAAUAGCGAGAUGUUACAAUAUGCAAGGGCAAAAGGAAUAGGAGAAGCAACAAACAUGGAAGCAGAGUCGCUUGCUCUGCUAGAAGCAAUUUAGUACUGUCAAGAGAAAAAUUUAAAAGAGACUAUAAUAGAAAUUGAUUCUUUAGUUCGAAAAAUAUGGUGGAUCAUCAGUUGAAGAUACCGUGGGAAUUGGUAGAAAGAAUUGAAGAGAUUAGAAGGGCAAUACAAAGUAUAAAUGUGUCAUCAUAUUUUUAGAGAAGGGAUGCGUGGCAGAUUCAUUGGUCAAUGAAGUAGUGGAGUCACAAGAAACAAAGUGCUAUCAUCUAUUUCAGGAGCUACCAAGUAUAACAAAGAAGCAUCUAAACGUGGAUAAAGCACAUAAACCAAACAUAAGGAUGAAAACUCGCAAAUUCAACACACAUUGAUGAAAGUAGAGAACCAACAUAAAGGAAAUAUACGAAAUAGAUACCAACCAAACACUCACAUCAGCAACAGUCAUAACUACAAAUCAACAGUUAUGCGUGGAAUGAGAGAGCACAAUAAGUUCAUAGCAGAAGACUCUACACCGGUGCAAAAAUAAAACUAAAAUUAGAUAGCCUAGCUAUCAAAAAACUUCAAACAAGGCUUGUUGGUUUGGUCAUCUGAGGAACUGGUCAGAAGUGAUACCAGAUAGCACAAUCGACGUCAUAUCUAGGCAGAAAUGAAGAACAUCUAUUGUCACUUGGAGCUUUCCCACCGCAAUCUGUAAAGAAAAAGAAUCAGUAGCUCAAAGAUUGUAGAAGGAGGAGAUAAGGAAGAAAUUCUUACCAAGAGAUGAAGCGGCUGAAAAAGAGGGAAAGGGUUUAGUGUUUUUUGGAAAACUAGACAAGGAGUAGCUAAGAGAAGAUUUGAAAACUCUUCUCAUUCUUUUAUUUGGAUCGGGUCCAUUUAUGGAUCAGGUCAUGGUUUUUUC
RNAcentral lists this long non-coding RNA (3037 nucleotides) under Solanum tuberosum (potato). Its description in RNAcentral is "long non-coding RNA (STUB_LNC007966)". The record is from RNAcentral. Lineage: Eukaryota; Viridiplantae; Streptophyta; Magnoliopsida; Solanales; Solanaceae.